RNAcentral lists this signal recognition particle RNA (299 nucleotides) under Carlito syrichta (Philippine tarsier). Its description in RNAcentral is "Metazoan signal recognition particle RNA (ENSTSYG00000033034.1)". It matches the Rfam family "Metazoan signal recognition particle RNA". Rfam says of the family: The signal recognition particle (SRP) is a universally conserved ribonucleoprotein. It is involved in the co-translational targeting of proteins to membranes. The eukaryotic SRP consists of a 300-nucleotide 7S RNA and six proteins: SRPs 72, 68, 54, 19, 14, and 9. The record is from RNAcentral. Lineage: Eukaryota; Metazoa; Chordata; Mammalia; Primates; Tarsiidae.
GCAGUAUGAAUAGUAAGUAGUCCCAUCUACUCAGGAGGCUGCAGCGGGAAGAUCGCUUGAGCCCAGGAGCUCCUGGCUGUCUGUAGUGCUCUGUGCUGAGACCCCCCCCCCACACUCUAGGCUUAGCAACAAUAGGGUGACCUUCCAGGAGCGGGGACCACCAGAUUGCCUAAGGAGGGGUGAACUGGACCAGGUCAGAAACGGAGCAGGUCAAAACUCCGGCGCUGAUCAGCAGUGGGAUUGUGCCUGUGAAUGGCCAUUGUGCUCCAGCCUGGGCAACAUAAUGAGACCCUGCCUCU